CAGACGAAUGUGGAAAGACGGAGCAUCCUCGGGCUCUUUACAAGUCUGGCUCAGAUGUCUCGGCUUUACUCGGCACAUAAAUCCAGUUUGGGUGCUUCACACUUUCUGUUUGCUGUAAUCUUUUGUUAGGAUCUGCGAGAGUCUCUGCAAACCUCCGAGCCUUAGAAACCAGAGCGGCCUUGUAGGCUCCCCCCAUAACCCCACCGCCCCGAAGAAGGACCAGCACCGCGCGCACUCAGCUCCUGGAUGUGGGUCAUGCUUAAAUAUGAAUUUUUCAUAUCUUUUGCAACUGUCCCCUGAUUUUGGCCCUGCAUUCAAAGUCGCAGCGCAGCUGGUGGAAAUGUGACACGGCCCCACCCUCGCUGUGUGAACUUCCCUCGGAAACUUUCCACUAAGCACACAUGAUGGUUCCUUUGUGAGUGCGCAUGCGCCAUUAGCGCGUGCUGCCUGCUGUAACC
Astatotilapia calliptera (eastern happy) is the source of this 458-nucleotide long non-coding RNA. Lineage: Eukaryota; Metazoa; Chordata; Actinopteri; Cichliformes; Cichlidae. The record is from Ensembl.